UACGAGGGGGGCGAGCGUUGUUCGGAAUUAUUGGGCGUAAAGGGCGCGUAGGCGGUUGGUUAAGUCUUGUGUGAAAUCUUCGGGCUCAACUCGAAGUCUGCACGAGAAACUAUCUGGCUUGAGUGUGGGAGAGGUGAGUGGAAUUCCUGGUGUAGCGGUGAAAUGCGUAGAUAUCAGGAGGAACACCUGUGGCGAAAGCGGCUCACUGGACCACAACUGACGCUGAGGCGCGAAAGCUAGGGGAGCAAACAGG
Molecule: ribosomal RNA, 253 nt
Filed under: uncultured bacterium
Lineage: Bacteria
Description: partial 16S ribosomal RNA
Rfam family: Bacterial small subunit ribosomal RNA
Source: RNAcentral